GUAGCCAGGGAGAGCGCUGAUAACACAGCAAGCCUUUGAGAGGGGGCAGGAAGGCGGUUUGAGAGGGGGCAGGAGGGCGGUUUAUGGGUGGUCAGAGUGGAGUCUGGAAGACAACUCACAUCGACCCGACAGAGUGUGUGUCUCUAUCCAGGUCCAGCAGGUGGCAGCAACAUCCAGAAGAAUUACAGGAAAGAAGAAGAAGAUUUUGAUUAAUAAUCAUACAAUUAAUAAGAAGUGCCUCUGAAAUAUACAACAUUUAACCAUGUUGAGAAACUUGAUUAUUUUUGAGAGUGCAUUACAUCCAUACACUCAUAGUGAUGGUGAAAUGAAGCUUCAUGACACCUUGAAGCUUUCCAGUCAGAUCCGUGAAAAGUGGUUCAUUUCUUGGCCUCUGAGUGCACUCUAGGGACACCUGCUGGUCAAUGGAAAUACCAUACGAGAAAAGGCAGGUGAUGGCGCUGAAAGAAUAAAGAAAAAGUUAUUUUUAAGUAUUUGGUCAGUGUUAUUUUGCCAUGAGAUUAAAAUAAUAUAACAUAAUCAUAAUAAUAUAAAUAAUCUGGUCGGUGAGUGUUUACCUGGGUAGUAUAAACCAUUCUGACAUUAAAGGUUCUUUAAAGUAGGCAGAGUGGAAAACAUGUUGCAAAAUGAUCUGUGGCUAUAUGAAAUAACAUAAUAAUUAGGCUUGUGUUAUAUUUCAUGGAAAUCAUAGCCUACAAGCUGGAAAUCAAAAAUAAGAGUUGUCUACAAGUUCCUGGCUCCAAUCACAAAAUUAAGUACUUACAACAACCCCUGCAAAUUAACUAAAUUGAAUGUGGCUCCUGUGUGACUGGAUGUCGCAGGUUCGUGAUCAUAAAGUGAGUUACAAGGUUAUGGAGCUGGUCAUACUGUGUAGUGUUUCUCUUAAAAACAAUAUUGGUCAUACAAAAGGACAGAACGCUUCAGAAGAACAUUUAUUUGAUGUAAAAAAAGCUGAAAUGCACAUGCUGAAUGAAGGUCAACGGAAGGUUAAUGCUAGGUGGGCUUCUCAUGCCUAUGCAUGAUGCUGUGCAUUUAGAUAGCUUGAUUACCCCCUUGGGAUAUGGAGCUUCAACGGGAAGUGCUUCACAUUUUUGACACAAGCCACAGUUUCAAGGGUAACCACUAGAAAGUAAUGGUGGGUUGUCUUAAAAAGGGAUCUCAGCAAUGAACAUUGUAUCAAGAAAUAAUAUUUUUUAAUUUUUUGCUAAAUUAGUAAUGAUACAAUGUUUCAGUUGAGCCAGGGGGUUUCAUAGGGUUCUGGAAGUUCUACAAGCAACAACAAAAUGGGUGCGUUCAGUCAGUCUUCAAAAACAAUGUUCUUGUUUUCCACAGUUGGAAGAGGUCUUUGAGAGGUCUAUUUCCCACUGGUGGGAAGUUACGUUUUUUGUUCUUGUUGUCUAUAUAUUCCUUUAAAGCUCUGCAAGUUUUUGUCCUAGAAUUAUAAAAAGAACACCCCCAGAAACAUUUAAUCUUAUACAUAUAUGCCACUUGUCAGUGGCGUAACUUAGUAACGACGGGCCCAGGUGCAAGAUAUUAUGAAGGGCCCCCCUAGUUAACGCAAAAAAAUUAAAUCGUAGCGUUGCCUACUUCCGCAACUGCGUCCAAAAAAAC
Long non-coding RNA from Clupea harengus (Atlantic herring), 1629 nucleotides. The record is from Ensembl. Lineage: Eukaryota; Metazoa; Chordata; Actinopteri; Clupeiformes; Clupeidae.